Molecule: transfer RNA, 74 nt
Filed under: Phycisphaerae bacterium
Lineage: Bacteria; Pseudomonadati; Planctomycetota; Phycisphaerae
Description: tRNA-Arg
Rfam family: tRNA
About the family: Transfer RNA (tRNA) molecules are approximately 80 nucleotides in length. Their secondary structure includes four short double-helical elements and three loops (D, anti-codon, and T loops).
Source: RNAcentral
GCACCCUUAGCUCAAUUGGAUAGAGCAUCUGACUACGGAUCAGAAGGUUGUAGGUUCGAGUCCUACAGGGUGCG